This 240-nucleotide unclassified non-coding RNA is filed under the name soil metagenome. RNAcentral describes it as "partial contains 5.8S ribosomal RNA, internal transcribed spacer 2, and large subunit ribosomal RNA". The record is from RNAcentral.
AACCUUAUGGACCUGCGGGCGUAUACCUGCGGAAGGAUCAUCAUCGAAUUCAUAUCCCCCUCCUCCCCGGAGGGGGACCCAUGAUAAACCCUUCUGUGCACUGUAAACCGUUCACUUUGGCAGGCUUUGGUGGUGAGCGUGAGCUUGCCUCCAACUUCGCGUUCCCUCCCUAGGGCAUUACGCGUGGCGGCCUGCCGGAGUCUCAUUAAAAAACUCGUUUUCGAACACGUCUGAAAUUUC